GCGAUGGCGGGUUCGCCGGGUGUGAAGCUUCACAGCGGUCCGGUGACCAAGUCGAGAUGGUGAGAACAAGACCAAGAUUGGAAAGCCAGCUUCAGAGGAGGGAAUUACAGCAAAAAUUGAACCAUUGACAGAAGAGUCUAGCAGUCUCAGAGAGAAUGUUCUCCAGGAUUCUGAAGGCAGAGAAUUCUGUGAAUUUGGGGAUAAAUUAAAUGAAAAAGAUCAGAACGUCUUUAAAAGGAGACCUCAUAACUGUGAUGAAUAUGGGCAAAGCUUUGUUUGGAAUACAGGCCUUUUUAGGCAUCGAAAAACCCACUGUGAGAAACCUUAUGAAUGUGAUAAGUGUGGAAAGGCCUUUAGUGUGAGCUCAGCCCUGGUUCUGCAUCAGAGAAUUCACACUGGGGAGAAACCUUAUUCCUGUAAUUGGUGUAUUAAAAGUUUCAGUCGGAGCUCAGACCUUAUUAAACACCAAAGAGUCCACACUGGUGAAAAACCUUAUAAAUGUGAUGAGUGUGGGAAAGCCUUCAGUCAGAGCUCAGAUCUUAUUAUACAUCAGAGAAUCCAUACAGGAGAAAAACCCUAUCAAUGCAGUCAUUGUAGUAAAAGUUUUAGCCAGCGCUCAGAUCUGGUUAAACAUCAGAGAAUCCAUACUGGAGAGAAGCCUUAUACUUGUAACCAGUGUAACAAACAUUUUAGUCAGAGUUCUGAUGUGAUAAAACAUCAAAGAAUCCACACUGGGGAGAAACCAUAUAAAUGUGAUGUGUGUGCGAAAGCCUUCAGUCAGAGCUCAGAUCUUAUUCUGCAUCAGAGAAUUCACAGUGGGGAGAAACCAUAUCCAUGUAAUCAGUGUAGCAAAAGUUUCAGUCAGAAUUCAGACCUUAUUAAACAUCGAAGGAUCCACACUGGAGAGAAACCCUAUAAAUGUAAUGAAUGUGGGAAAGCUUUUAAUCAGAGCUCAGUCCUUAUUUUACAUCAGAGGAUUCAUACUGGAGAGAAACCCUAUCCCUGUGAUCAAUGUAGCAAAACCUUCAGUAGGCUUUCAGAUCUUAUUAAUCAUCAACGAAUUCACACUGGAGAGAAGCCUUACCCAUGUAAUCAGUGCAAUAAAAUGUUUAGUCGAAGAUCAGAUCUUGUUAAACAUCACAGAAUUCAUACAGGUGAGAAACCCUAUGAAUGUGAUGAAUGUGGGAAAACCUUUAGUCAGAGCUCCAACCUUAUUCUUCAUCAGAGAAUCCACACUGGAGAGAAACCUUAUCCAUGUAGUGAUUGUACUAAAAGCUUUAGUCGCCGUUCAGAUCUUGUUAAGCAUCAAAGAAUACACACUGGAGAGAAACCAUAUGCAUGUAAUCAGUGUGAUAAAAGUUUUAGUCAAAGCUCAGACCUCACUAAACAUCAGAGAGUACACUCUGGUGAAAAGCCUUAUCAUUGCAAUAGUUGUGAGAAAGCCUUCAGUCAGAGUUCUGACCUUAUUCUUCAUCAGAGAAUUCACACUGGAGAAAAACCAUAUCUAUGCACACAGUGCAGCAAAAGUUUCAGUCAGAACUCAGACCUCAUUAAACACCAGAGAAUCCACACUGGGGAAAAACCAUAUAAAUGUAGUGAGUGCAGGAAGGCUUUCAGUCAGUGCUCAGCUCUUACCCUACACCAGAGAAUCCACACUGGGGAGAAACCAAAUCCAUGUGAUGAGUGUGGCAAAAGCUUUAGUCGGCAUUCUGAUCUCAUUAACCAUCAAAAAAUACACACUGGUGAAAAGCCGUAUAAGUGUGAUGCAUGUGGGAAAGCCUUUAGCACAUGCACAGAUCUUAUUGAACACCAGAAAAUCCAUGCUGGGGAGAAACCCUACCGUUGUGUUCAAUGCAGCAGAAGUUUUAGCCAACUCUCAGAACUUACUAUUCAUGAGGAAGUCCAUUGUGGAGAAGACAGUCAAAAUGUGAUGAAUGUGAGAAAACCUUUAGUGUAUACAUCAACUCUAUUCAGUACCAGAGACACUGUACCAGGAAAAAAUCUAAUGAAUGCUGUUGAUUAUUGAUGAGUAUGAAAAAGGUUUUAAUCAGUGUUCAACUCUUAUGCUACAUUUAAACCACACUGGAUCCGGAUACGUGUGGUGACUCACGCCUGUAAUCCCAACACUUUGGGAGGCAGAUGUGGAAGCAUCAUUUGAGCCCAGGAGUUUGAGGCUGCAGUGAGCUAUGAUUCCACCAUUGUGCUCCAGUCUGGGCAACAGAGCAAGACCCUGUCUAUUA
This 2240-nucleotide small RNA is filed under the name Pongo abelii (Sumatran orangutan). RNAcentral's name for it is "processed transcript". The record is from RNAcentral. Lineage: Eukaryota; Metazoa; Chordata; Mammalia; Primates; Hominidae.